RNAcentral lists this long non-coding RNA (922 nucleotides) under Pan troglodytes (chimpanzee). RNAcentral's name for it is "long non-coding RNA NONPTRT009324". The record is from RNAcentral. Lineage: Eukaryota; Metazoa; Chordata; Mammalia; Primates; Hominidae.
GAGGGGACCCGUGCCACCAGGCAAGGUGUCUGGGGGCGAGGUGAGAGUUCUGCCAAAGCCGGAGCCAGGGUUGGACCCCCGGAGCUACUUGGUCGGCCCCUGGAGGGAGAGUGGUGUGUUCACACCGUGGCCCUGGUGGCCCAGCUCUGCCCAUCUUCAUCCCAGGUGGCAGCUACUGCCCAGCUCUCUGGCCAGUGCCUCUUAGAUGGUGUCACCACCUGCAGAAGAAAACAGAAGUGCUGACUAAUAUUUGAUGAAGGCCUGCUAUGCCGGCGGCACCUGAUGUGGCAGGUGAAGUCAGGGGGGCAGCAGCCAAGGCUGCCUGUUCCUCAGUGUCCCUGCCCGUGAGACGGGCAUAGCUAACUCCUGUGGCCACCUUGAGGGUAAGAUGCUUCCUGCAGGUGCUUGGACCAGUAUCUGGCACGGGGCAGGUGCUCAGUGAAAGUUCCUUAUUAAUCCCUGUACCUUUCACUGUUGGAAGUAACUCAGGACAUUGGCUUGGUGGUUACACAAGCACUGUGGGAGAAGGUGGUGUAUCUGUUCACCCUGGGUCCCAGUGGCUGAGGCAGAGCCAGCCAUGCAGGAGGCAGGCGUCCAAUAUGUAUAUUGGAUGGAAGAUCGAAUUGCAUAAUAAAAUAUAUUAAAGAUUUCCAGAGUGGAGGGGUGAGGAGGUCAACAAACCCUCUCCCCAAAAUGUACCUGUAAAUCUAAACAAAAGUCAGAAACAACCAUGUUGGUGCUUUGGAAUGUAACCAAAGGCAAACAGCAAACCAAGGAGUGUUUAUUCAUCAAAGAGCCACGCGCUGUGGUCCCAGCCACUCGGGAAGCUGAGGCAGGAGGGUCACUGGAGCCCAGGAGCUGGAAGCUGCAGUGAAUUACGAUGGCACCUGCUCUCCAGCCUGGGUGACAGAGAGAGACCCCG